AAAUUGAAGAGUUUGAUCAUGGCUCAGAUUGAACGCUGGCGGCAGGCCUAACACAUGCAAGUCGAGCGGUAGCACAGAGAGCUUGCUCUCGGGUGACGAGCGGCGGACGGGUGAGUAAUGUCUGGGAAACUGCCUGAUGGAGGGGGAUAACUACUGGAAACGGUAGCUAAUACCGCAUAAUGUCGCAAGACCAAAGUGGGGGACCUUCGGGCCUCAUGCCAUCAGAUGUGCCCAGAUGGGAUUAGCUAGUAGGUGGGGUAACGGCUCACCUAGGCGACGAUCCCUAGCUGGUCUGAGAGGAUGACCAGCCACACUGGAACUGAGACACGGUCCAGACUCCUACGGGAGGCAGCAGUGGGGAAUAUUGCACAAUGGGCGCAAGCCUGAUGCAGCCAUGCCGCGUGUGUGAAGAAGGCCUUCGGGUUGUAAAGCACUUUCAGCGGGGAGGAAGGCGGUAAGGUUAAUAACCUCAUCGAUUGACGUUACCCGCAGAAGAAGCACCGGCUAACUCCGUGCCAGCAGCCGCGGUAAUACGGAGGGUGCAAGCGUUAAUCGGAAUUACUGGGCGUAAAGCGCACGCAGGCGGUCUGUCAAGUCGGAUGUGAAAUCCCCGGGCUCAACCUGGGAACUGCAUUCGAAACUGGCAGGCUAGAGUCUUGUAGAGGGGGGUAGAAUUCCAGGUGUAGCGGUGAAAUGCGUAGAGAUCUGGAGGAAUACCGGUGGCGAAGGCGGCCCCCUGGACAAAGACUGACGCUCAGGUGCGAAAGCGUGGGGAGCAAACAGGAUUAGAUACCCUGGUAGUCCACGCCGUAAACGAUGUCGAUUUGGAGGUUGUGCCCUUGAGGCGUGGCUUCCGGAGCUAACGCGUUAAAUCGACCGCCUGGGGAGUACGGCCGCAAGGUUAAAACUCAAAUGAAUUGACGGGGGCCCGCACAAGCGGUGGAGCAUGUGGUUUAAUUCGAUGCAACGCGAAGAACCUUACCUGGUCUUGACAUCCACAGAACUUUCCAGAGAUGGAUUGGUGCCUUCGGGAACUGUGAGACAGGUGCUGCAUGGCUGUCGUCAGCUCGUGUUGUGAAAUGUUGGGUUAAGUCCCGCAACGAGCGCAACCCUUAUCCUUUGUUGCCAGCGGUCCGGCCGGGAACUCAAAGGAGACUGCCAGUGAUAAACUGGAGGAAGGUGGGGAUGACGUCAAGUCAUCAUGGCCCUUACGACCAGGGCUACACACGUGCUACAAUGGCAUAUACAAAGAGAAGCGACCUCGCGAGAGCAAGCGGACCUCAUAAAGUAUGUCGUAGUCCGGAUUGGAGUCUGCAACUCGACUCCAUGAAGUCGGAAUCGCUAGUAAUCGUAGAUCAGAAUGCUACGGUGAAUACGUUCCCGGGCCUUGUACACACCGCCCGUCACACCAUGGGAGUGGGUUGCAAAAGAAGUAGGUAGCUUAACCUUCGGGAGGGCGCUUACCACUUUGUGAUUCAUGACUGGGGUGAAGUCGUAACAAGGUAACCGUAGGGGAACCUGCGGUUGGAUCACCUCCUUA
Molecule: ribosomal RNA, 1540 nt
Filed under: Klebsiella pneumoniae
Lineage: Bacteria; Pseudomonadati; Pseudomonadota; Gammaproteobacteria; Enterobacterales; Enterobacteriaceae
Description: bacterial SSU rRNA
Rfam family: Bacterial small subunit ribosomal RNA
Source: RNAcentral